CUACGGGCGGCUGCAGUGGGGAAUAUUGCACAAUGGGCGCAAGCCUGAUGCAGCCAUGCCGCGUGUAUGAAGAAGGCCUUCGGGUUGUAAAGUACUUUCAGCGGGGAGGAAGGGAGUAAAGUUAAUACCUUUGCUCAUUGACGUUACCCGCAGAAGAAGCACCGGCUAACUCCGUGCCAGCAGCCGCGGUAAUACGGAGGGUACAAGCGUUAAUCGGAAUUACUGGGCGUAAAGCGCACGCAGGCGGUUUGUUAAGUCAGAUGUGAAAUCCCCGGGCUCAACCUGGGAACUGCAUCUGAUACUGGCAAGCUCGAGUGUCGUAGAGGGGGGUAGAAUUCCGGGUGUAGCGGUGAAAUGCGUAGAGAUCUGGAGGAAUACCGGUGGCGAAGGCGGCCCCCUGGACGAAGACUGACGCUCAGGUGCGAAAGCGUGGGGAGCAAACAGGAUUAGAUACCCGAGUAGUC
RNAcentral lists this ribosomal RNA (464 nucleotides) under uncultured bacterium. RNAcentral's name for it is "partial 16S ribosomal RNA". It matches the Rfam family "Bacterial small subunit ribosomal RNA", at positions 339 to 795 of the family's 1533-position model. The record is from RNAcentral.